GCAGCAGUGGGGAAUAUUGCAUAAUGGGCGGAAGCCUGAUGCAGCGACGCCGCGUGAGGGAUGAAGGCCUUCGGGUUGUAAACCUCUUUCAGCAGGGACGAAGCGUGAGUGACGGUACCUGCAGAAGAAGCACCGGCUAACUACGUGCCAGCAGCCGCGGUAAUACGUAGGGUGCGAGCGUUGUCCGGAAUUACUGGGCGUAAAGAGUUCGUAGGCGGUUUGUCGCGUCGUUUGUGAAAACCCGGGGCUCAACUUCGGGCUUGCAGGCGAUACGGGCAGACUUGAGUGUUUCAGGGGAGACUGGAAUUCCUGGUGUAGCGGUGAAAUGCGCAGAUAUCAGGAGGAACACCGGUGGCGAAGGCGGGUCUCUGGGAAACAACUGACGCUGAGGAACGAAAGCGUGGGUAGCAAACAGGAUUAGAUACCCUGGUAGUCCACGCCGUAAACGGUGGGCGCUAGGUGUGGGUUCCUUCCACGGGAUCUGUGCCGUAGCUAACGCAUUAAGCGCCCCGCCUGGGGAGUACGGCCGCAAGGCUAAAACUCAAAGGAAUUGACGGGGGCCCGCACAAGCGGCGGAGCAUGUGGAUUAAUUCGAUGCAACGCGAAGAACCUUACCUGGGUUUGACAUACACCAGAUCGCCGUAGAGA
RNAcentral lists this ribosomal RNA (648 nucleotides) under Rhodococcus sp. (in: high G+C Gram-positive bacteria). RNAcentral describes it as "bacterial SSU rRNA". It matches the Rfam family "Bacterial small subunit ribosomal RNA", at positions 348 to 1006 of the family's 1533-position model. Lineage: Bacteria; Bacillati; Actinomycetota; Actinomycetes; Mycobacteriales; Nocardiaceae. The record is from RNAcentral.